Eptesicus fuscus (big brown bat) is the source of this 107-nucleotide small nuclear RNA. The record is from RefSeq and is a predicted model, not a curated record. NCBI's taxonomy places the organism in Eukaryota, Metazoa, Chordata, Mammalia, Chiroptera, Vespertilionidae.
GUGCUUGCUUCGGCAGCACAUAUACUGAAAUUGGAACAAUACCGAGAAGAUUAGCAUGGUCCCUGCACAAGGAUGACACACAAAUUCAUGAAGGGUUCUAUAUUUUU